Odocoileus virginianus texanus is the source of this 1853-nucleotide non-coding RNA. The record is from RefSeq and is a predicted model, not a curated record. NCBI's taxonomy places the organism in Eukaryota, Metazoa, Chordata, Mammalia, Artiodactyla, Cervidae.
GCCCGCCGCCAGCCAGCUUCAAGCACAUCCCAUCCCACACGGCCGGGCGCAGGGCAGGCCCGCCGGAGCCAUGGAGGACGAGGUGAUCCGCAUUGCCAAGAAGAUGGACAAGAUGGUGCAGAAGAAGAACGCGGCUGGAGCAUUGGAUUUACUGAAGGAGCUUAAGAAUAUUCCCAUGACCCUGGAACUAUUACAGUCCACAAGAAUUGGAAUGUCAGUGAAGGCUAUUCGCAAGCAGAGCACAGAUGAAGAAGUUACAUCUUUAGCAAAGUCUCUCAUCAAAUCCUGGAAAAAGUUAUUAGAUGGACCAUCAACAGAUAAAGAUUCUGAAGAAAAGAAAAAAGAUACUGCAGUUACGUCACAGAAUAGCCCUGAAGCAAGAGAGGAAAGCAGCUCUAGCGGCAACAUGAGCAGCAGAAAGGACGAGACCAAUGCCCAGGACACCUAUGUCUCAUCUUUUCCUUGGGCGCCGAGCACUUCUGAUUCUGUGCGGUUAAAGUGCAGGGAGAUGCUCGCUGCUGCUCUACGAAUGGGAGAUGACUACAUCGCCAUUGGAGCUGACGAGGAAGAAUUGGGUUCUCAGAUCGAGGAAGCCAUCUAUCAAGAAAUAAGGAAUACAGACAUGAAAUACAAAAAUAGAGUACAAAGUAGGAUAUCAAAUCUUAAGGAUGCCAAAAAUCCAAAUUUAAGGAAAAACGUGCUGUGUGGGAACAUUCCUCCUGACUUGUUUGCUAGAAUGACAGCAGAGGAGAUGGCUAGUGAUGAGCUCAAAGAGAUGCGGAAAAACUUGACCAAAGAAGCUAUCAGAGAGCAUCAGAUGGCCAAGACGGGCGGGACCCAGACGGACUUGUUCACGUGCGGCAAGUGUAAGAAGAAGAACUGCACCUACACACAGGUACAAACGCGGAGUGCUGAUGAACCCGUGACAACGUUUGUCGUCUGCAACAAGUGUGGAAACCAGUGGAAGUUCUGUUGAGCUGGAAGCAUUGGCAAAACAUCUCGACCAUUAAGAAGAUGGAUUUUGUAGUUAGCUUUAAGACUAGGUCAACUCGCUAGUUUUCCUGCAAAUGAGAUUUUUAAAGUAACUUGCCUCCCUUGGGUUAGUCUCUGAUUUUGACAUACUGUCCCUUCCUUAAACGCCUUCUGCAGUUUCAGGAAGACACACUGGGAGGAAGAUGUUAGCGUUUUAGAAUAGUGUGGUUCCUGUGAACAGUUCCUGACUUGACUUUGAUUUGGAAAUCUGUCCUGACUGAGGACUUUAAGGCUUAUAGAGAUCAUUAAGCUGUGGUCUUUCCAUAUGGAGACUGACGGGGCACAUUUCUGUCCUCACUGACUUGCUGCCUCUGUUACACAGGAGUAAGGCUGAGGGACAGACAAGUGCGUGGGCUAUAACACGGCCCACGUUUAUGGGACGGACCUUGCAGUUAAGUGUGUGCCAUCUGCUUGAUUGGGAAUAAGGAAGAACGAUCUCAUGCUGGCUGUCGCAUAUCUUGAGUCCCCAGUUAUGAGGACCACAUCUCAUCCUGCUCCAUCUCCACUUUCCCACCCCUAUGGAAAGACUUCAGAACCAGCUUGCACGCCCCCCCCUCCCCGCCCCUCCACUGCUCACCACAGGUCAGUUUGAUGCAGUAGAGGAAACUUCCAGAAGUCCACAUGAAGAUCCCACAUGUAAGAAUUGGCCACUGGUGCCGUACCACCUCCACUUUGUCAGGUCAUAGAGUAACCUUUUAUCACUUGGAAAAUAACAUGAAUUUUUGAAAGAAUGAGUGUAAGAAGAAUAAAAUAGUCCCACUUUUAAGUGAGCCAUUUUUAAAUUUGUAAUUCAAUAAAGUUUCUUGUUAUUAAACAUGAAA